Molecule: long non-coding RNA, 5305 nt
Filed under: Gallus gallus (chicken)
Lineage: Eukaryota; Metazoa; Chordata; Aves; Galliformes; Phasianidae
Source: RNAcentral
CGCCUCCCCGGACCGCGGGGCUGAGCGGAAAGGGAGCGCGGGGGGCGCGCGCGUGGAUAGGCUGAGCGCGCCGCGCAAUCACGUGACACCGCACGCGACCCCCGGUAGAACCGUGGUACUUUAAUGAGCCCCGUACAGCGCGCGCCGCCGCAGCGUCUCAGCGCCCGCCCCGCGCGGCCCCUCCUCAGAGGUCGGCGCGAGCGCCCGCCGCCCUCGGCGCGUACUUGGGCAUCAGUUCGUGGAUCCUGCGGAUGAAGUCGGAUUUCUCGGCGCAGCCCUUGCACGCCUCGCCCCAGUCGUCGAGGAUCCGCCGCAGCUCCUUGACGCGCAGCUUGCGCAGGUCGGCGGUGCUCAGGUCGAUCUGUUUGUCUGCGGGGAGAGCAGAGCCGCGCUCAGCACGGAGCGCCGGGGGGUUCCGGCGGCGUCACCGCGCGGCGCGGCGGGCGGCACAGCGCUGAGCUGCAGAGCUCCGCGGCGACCCCGAAAGCCCCCUUCGCCGCAGCGCUGCGGCUGUCCUCCGCGGGACGGAAAGGGCGGUGGGGUCAGCGCGGAGGAAAGGCGGCGGUGACAGCGACGGAGGGCUGGCUGGGAAGCUACGGGGCGUUAGUGCAAGAAACGAGGAGUGCAGCAACCACAGCCCGGCGUGGCUGUGUCCAGGGGAUGUAAGGGCAGAGGGACGGCAGGCAGAAGGCACUUCCGUGGCCGUUCUUCACAUCAGUCUUCUCGGGAGGAGCACAUCAGCACGGAACACGAGCUCGAGGAGGGUGGUGAGAAACAGGACAGGCGACAAAGCAGCGCCCAUCGAUGCCAGCAGCGCCGGCACAGCCCAGCAGCCCUGCCAUGAGCUCAGCAGGCACCAUCGCAGCCCAGGCGUACUGCGUGCUGUCCUCACGGCCGUUAUUCCAACAGGGCUUUGAGCACAGCACUGCUGGCGCCUGGGAGGUCGAGCAGUGGUUCUGCGGGAGCUAAAGGGGUUAGCAGCCAGCAGCCCCACCUGAGCAUCCCCAUACAGCUGUGCAGGAUAUUCACAGACAACAGCCCAGCUUGUGCAACUACCCAGGCUGGUGACCUCCACGACUUCAGCAUGCUUUUACCCACAGUGAUGCAGUAUCCCAGGAAGGUGCAUCCAUUUUCCCCUUCUGGCAACUCACCGUAUUUCAGCUCGCAGAUCUGACUGUCUUUCUUCUUCAGUUUCUCGCAGAUCUUUUCCACGGGGAUGUGGUGACUCAUGGGUUUGGAAACCUCGUUAAUAAUUUUGGUGGCUGCAUCACUUGUGGCCCCAAUGUAAUAGCACAACCGGUUCUCUUUGCCUUUUGCCUCUCUGCAGGAUUUCAUGAGCUCCUUUUCAAUACUGGCGGGCGUGAACUCAACAUUGUUGUCCUUUAGACUCUGGUAGAACCUCCCCAGGAAGGUGACACACACUGGAAGGAAGAUGGGUGGAGUUACCUGUCACUGCAAGAACCUCACGGCAGCUCUCAGAAGCAGGGGAACAGAAUAAGGGCUUUGCAGAACAGAACGUUUAGAAGCUGCGUUAGCAAUCAGUGACCUCACAGGUAUUUCAGCACACGUGAGGCAGCAGCGUGCCCUGGUAGUUUUGGUGGGUUUCUGACAAUCUGAAAAAGCAGAUCCCUGGAACUACCCGGCGAAGAACAGAAACCUGAUGCCCUAUUCUUGCUGCUUUGGUAACCCACUUGUCAGACUAUGGGCUUCAAAACCAGUUCUGACUGAAAACCAACUCAUCUAGGGAGCGCAUCAGCUGAAUAAUCAGUGAUAUCACAUUACUAAUGACAGUACACACUGGAGUCUGUAACGGGAUUGUGUACAGUUGCUUCCAAGAGAAAAAGCUGUAACACGAUCACAUGCUGCACCCACUUGGCACGUUUCUCUCCUCAUUUCCCACAAACUUAUGCAUCAGUUUCAAAGAGACUCCAAGAUAACACAACUUCCACAAGCGCACCAGAAGCGGAGAGGACAAAGCCCAGCCCUGCGGGUGGGAAGGGCAGCACAGCUCAGUCCUUACACUCCCCCCCCCAGGCAACAGCCGGGCAGGUCGUGCUCCAGAGGGAGCACAGCACAGGGAGGGAGGCAGCUGCAGUACGCAGCGGGAUCCGUGCAGCAGCACUGCGUGACCCCGCAAGCUCGCAGAGUCAGGUUUCACUCCUGCUGCUCACACACGCGGUCUAUGAGCGCCAGCAUCACCCGUGCUGGAGGUCCGUGCCCCACCGGUUCCUGCAGCAGGAGCCGGGGCUUCCCAGCCUCCCGGCCCUCCGUGUGCGUGCGUGUCCCAAUGGAAAGGGGUCAGCGAGUCUCGUCACCGACUUGUGUUCAACUCCGGACCCGAGCACGGAACGCGGGCAAUGGCAGGGAAUCAACGGGACCGCCUGAAGCCAACUGAACACCGACUGCCGUCACCUGAAGCUGGCAGUAAUUACAAGCCGGGCCGUUCGGGAAAACCUUUUCGUACGCAUACAACGCCAUCAUUUACCUCACAUCAGUUUGUCUCCAGUCACAGACACACACUGAUGUCCACUGUGCGCUGUCUGGAAGUGAAAACCUUCGGAAAGAACAGAGACGCUGCAGGCAGUGCCGCCGGCGGCCGCGGUGCAGCUGAGCGCCGUGCCUUCCUCCGAGCCGAGCGGCGGCACCGCGGAACCCCCACAGCUCCCCGUCCCGCCCCGGGAUCGCCUCCGUCCCGGCACGACGGAGCGCUGCGCUUCGCGCUGCAGCCGCGCGGCGACUUCUGCGAGCGAAGCGGCACCGCCGGCGGCGCCGGGACAGCGCAGCGCAGCGCGGCCGGGCUCGGGACGGGACGGGGCGGGGCAGCGCCGCUCGGCGCAGGACGGGCCUCGGGAGCGCUCCGGAUCGGCCGCAGCCGCCUGCCCGGGCAGAGGGAACUUCCGCGCCCCGCCACGAGCCGCUCUCGGCGGCCCUGCCCGUGCCCCGGCCCCCGACGGCAGCGUGCGGACGCGGCCUCACCUCGCCGUGCCCCGGGGCCGCCCCUCCUCCGGCCCGGCCCCACUCACCCUCGCACUCCCCGUCGCGCAGCGCCCGGCUGCCGGCCGGCAGCAGGAGCAGGGCCAGCGUCGCCCAGAGCCCGUGGGCCGCCCGCAUCCCGCCUCGCUCGGCGCCCGCCACACCGGUACCGGCACCGCCGCCCCCGCGCGCCGCCGGUUCCCCCCCGCCGCUGCCCCCAUUGGCCCGCUCCCCGCCCGGCUUCCACGCCGCCUCCUCCCAUUGGCCAACCCGCGGCCUCCACGGGAGAGUUGGCGGCCGCUGAUUGGAGGAGGCGGCGAGCGGCGGGUUUCCCCGCCUCCCUCGGCCGCCAUUUUUGUUAAGGGAAAGUUGCCCUCGAAGGCUUCGCGCCGGCGGCUCGCGGGCGCCAUCUUGUGGAGGGGCAGAUCCUCACACCUCAGCAAGGGGGGGUGUUCGUGUGUGAGAAUUUGAGACAAAGUGCGAGGGGGGUUUUGCAAGGCCGGUAGUUUGAGGUACACUUCAGGUACACUUCAACGUUACCUCCCUUUUCAGUUCUGCAUGUGGAAACGGCUCAUGGUCAGAGAUGGGGAGCCAUUACAGAGAUGCAGGUGCUGGCUGAACUACUUAAAUUGCUUGUUUUUACACUGAUAACCACCAAAGCUAGGAUUGAGGUUGUUUCUAAGCCCACGGUUUCUAUCGCCAAAGUAUUUGACAUGGGAAAAAAAAAUAGGGGAAACAUAGCAAUGAAUGGGUGAAUUUUGUUUUUGUGAUGGUUUGGGUGGGCUAAUAGAGCAAAGGGAGAAAGUGAGCCAGGUAGGGCUAACAGGAGCUGGAAUACGGUCAGCUCUUGGAUGGUGGUUUGCUAAGAAGCUUGUAAAAAGGGAGAAAGGGCAACAUGAAUUACAGCAGUAAGAAGAAAACCUGUAGAUCUUUGAGAAUUGGGCUAUAGUUUGUAUGUGUGUAUUAAAAAAUUGUGCGUGUGUUUAUCAUUCCAAACACUGUCCGUGCAUUGUCCUAGCAAUGCUAAUGCACCUACAGAUGUGAAUAGGAAAAUAAAAUGAAGUGCUCACUGUAUGCCUAAAGUUCAUUAGCUGUGCAGUGGUCUAAUGAAAUUGCUGUACGACUAAUGGUAUGUAUAGCAGAUAAUGUAAAGUAAACCUGUGUCGGUACCAGUGGUAAAUAUGUGAAUGAAGUCCAGGAAUUCACACGUUCAGAGAAUCCCUUACUUUUGGUUGCCUGCAGUAUGUGACUGUCAAGUCAGUGGCUGAAGAAGCUGAGUGGUUGUUGGUCUGGAAUAUGGUAUUCUUUUCCAGCUAAAUAGAGAUUGGUAGUAAUUAAUACACGAUCACUUAGGUACAGUGUGGUUCUUGUGGUGAGACAGCAUGAAGGUUACUUUAAUGGUUGCAGGGAUGAAGGUAAUCUGCAGGAUUUAGUGUAAGCCUCUUGGAUGCUGAUACUCCUGCUUAAGUGCUAAGGAGUAAACUGCUUGGGGCGUGCGAGGACCCUGCCUGGGUUCAGCUGCCAGGUGGUGGGAGACACAUUGGGAGUGCCUGCCCUUGUUUCAGCUCUGGGGAAGGCCAGCAGUAGGUAAAAGAGAAUACUCUGUAACAUAUUAUUUAUACCCUAUUUGGGGCUUCAUUGCUGGAAAGCAGUGGCCAAACUCUCCCAAAGCUGUAGCUAUUGUAUAGGUACAGUAUGAAGUCACGAGCAGUGAGUUGUGCUACAUUCACACCUGUGAAUGGUUUACACACAGACAGCAAAGAAGCUGGGAUUUGUGACAGCUGGUUCUUUUCAGUUACUCAAAUCCAGCUGCCUGAAUGACACGGACAGGUGCUACAAUCUGAGCCUGGGUUUUCUUAAGCUGGCUCUAGGAAUAAAUGCAUAUUUGUACAGAGGCAAGAGCAGCUGAAUCUUUGUGGACUGGAUUAUCUUAUUUGCUAGAGGUUUGAUUUCUCCUCUUACCAACUUUUGUGUAACUCAGUACCAAAGAAACUUUCUUCCUUGGAUCAGGUGAAGAUUUGGCUGGGCUAUGUACAUUUGAAUGUGAUAGCGUGGCUUAAAGUGUCUGGCUUGCACUCAAAUGCUGCUUCUUUUGGCUUUAAUGGAAAUUUUAACUUAAGGCUGAAGGCUUUUUGUGUUGAACUCUUUUCAUUUCCCACAAUUCAUUAACAGAUGCUUUUAGCUGAAUAAUAAUAAACAUAUAUAUUAAACUGAGAUUUGCUAAGUUGGGUUAGAAGUGACUCAGGGUCUGCUUUAUACAGACAUCCUCCAGGUGCCAGCUAAGCCACGUUUUGGUAUUUCAGAUGUACUACCAUGGACAACUACGUUCUUA